UCAACAAACAUUUGGCAACUA
Molecule: non-coding RNA, 21 nt
Filed under: Caenorhabditis elegans
Lineage: Eukaryota; Metazoa; Nematoda; Chromadorea; Rhabditida; Rhabditidae
Source: RNAcentral